Long non-coding RNA from Xenia sp. Carnegie-2017, 1290 nucleotides. RefSeq lists it as uncharacterized. The record is from RefSeq and is a predicted model, not a curated record. NCBI's taxonomy places the organism in Eukaryota, Metazoa, Cnidaria, Anthozoa, Malacalcyonacea, Xeniidae. The transcript is spliced from 3 exons.
AGUUAGCGACCGGGGAAGCCAUCAAGUCGUAGUCGUUACCCGACGAGCCGGCGGCAACGUACGAGUAGGAACCUCGAGACCAUUCGUCAGAUUUCCAUCUUGUUACUACGGUCUCACGAGGCUGAAAAAGAAUUUCUUUUAUUCAGUGAUGUAGCAGUCUACUCUCAACAUCCUAAGAAAAUUAGUCGAGGAAAGGUUUUCACCCUUCUUAUUAUUUCACUAUUUCUGGAAAGUGAGUCCUCUGCCAUGUGUGCAUACCAUAAUAAAUCAAUUCAUACAUUUUAAAAUGUGCGGCUGGAAGAAAUUGAUGUAGAAUCUUUCGGUUUCAGACUUCUCCGAGAGAAAAAUCUACGUUAAGGUUCAGUGAUCGACAAGUAUAAAAAUAUUAGUUGUACUGUUUAUUCACUAUGCAUGUAUUAAUCCUAUUUUCCUCAUCAUUCAGUUGAAAUAAGUGAUUUCUUCGAUUGUGAUGAACUGCGCUUGUUUUGAUGAAUUUAUGAUGUACAAAUUAAAGACUGGAUUGUUUACAGUCGACGUGCAUCUUUCCGAUGCAACCACACGAACAUAGUUAAAAAUUAAUUGUCCUCACCUGGGGUACAUUACCGCUCCCAAAUAUCCCUUUGAGUACAGCAACACAACGUCCCACAAUUAUUUCGUCGGCAACUGCUUCUAACUCGUUGGCAGCUUUCCCUGCGACCAACGCUAUUAAUAUAGGUGUCUUGUAAAGAUUCCAAAACAAGAAUAGCUCACCACGCUUAGCUGUUGUGCUUCCCACGUGACCAAAGAGGUUCGUCGAGCGAUCCCAGAACACACGAUCGAAACAUAGGACAACCUAGAGGCAAAGGAGGAUGAAAUUGAACAGUCUCUGGCAUGGCUUUCAAAACACCCAACGGUAACGUGAUUAAGACCACGUCACCCUUAAAACUCUGUGUCGUGCUAAUGGCCGCUUUCGUCGUGCUUUGUGUGAUGACUUCGACACCUGGAUAUGAAUUCAAAAGAUCAAAGUAAAUGCCAGGGUGUGUUUACAAAUAAAUUUUUGAACGGUCAGUUUAUAUGUACGUGAAAAUAUACGCAUUUAAUAAAGUUUGGAGCUAGAAAUGGAUGUUCGAUUUCCAAAAGUUACUUAAAUGUUUCUGUUACAACGUAGUAAUUAUUGCUUGCAUUAUACGAUGACUUGCUUCACUGUAAAUGUAGCUGGUCAGUUUUCAUAACAAUGGAAAAUUUGUAAUAAAGCUCAAACAGAACCAUGGCAAAAAAAACAACAAAAUAAAACAUGAUUACACAUGUAAA